AUUGAACGCUGGCGGCAGGCCUAACACAUGCAAGUCGAACGAGUGGCGGACGGGUGAGCAAUUGCUGGGCAACUGCCUGAUGGAGGGGGAUAACUACUGGAAACGGUGGCUAAUACCGCAUACCAUCGGAUGUGCCCAGAUGGGAUUAGCUAGUCGGUGGGGUAAAGGCUCACCGAGGGGUCGAUGCCUAGCUGGGCUGAGAGGAUGACCGGCCACACUGGAACUGAGACACGGUCCAGACGCCUACGGGAGGCAGCAGUGGGGAAUAUUGGACAAUGGACGCAAGCCUGAUGCAGCCAUGCCGCGUGUAUGAAGAAGGCCUUCGGGUUGUAAAGUACUUUCGGCGGGGAGGCGGUACCCGCAGAAGAAGCACCGGCUAACUCCGUGCCAGCAGCCGCGGUAAUUC
RNAcentral lists this ribosomal RNA (406 nucleotides) under uncultured bacterium. RNAcentral's name for it is "partial 16S ribosomal RNA". It matches the Rfam family "Bacterial small subunit ribosomal RNA", at positions 29 to 526 of the family's 1533-position model. The record is from RNAcentral.